RNAcentral lists this long non-coding RNA (396 nucleotides) under Jatropha curcas. RNAcentral's name for it is "long non-coding RNA (JCUR_LNC003563)". Lineage: Eukaryota; Viridiplantae; Streptophyta; Magnoliopsida; Malpighiales; Euphorbiaceae. The record is from RNAcentral.
AGGAGAUACAGGUGAGGAUUGGCUUUCCAGUGCAGAUGACUUUGAUGGUAUAGCAGAAUCUGCCAGAGUCAUGAAUAUAUUCUUCAUACAUCUUACCAUCUCCUCUGAAAGUUGAUUAGGGUAAUCCCAGAGGCCCUUAGUUGGUAAUCCUUUUGGAAUCUUCUUGAACUCUACAGGUUGAGCAGGUUUGGAGACCAUCUUCACAGAUACUUUGUCAUCCAAAAGUGCAAUUGACUUCACUGCAUGCUGACCCAAAACACCACAUAUUAACUGCCAACUACUCCAGCGAUAAUAUUUCUGGAAAAGGUUCAUCACACUACCCAUUUGAAAUUAUUAAUUUCUUUAUAGCAAAGAAACAUUCAUUUCAGGUAUCAUAAUCUUCAUCUUUCAGAGUGG